RNAcentral lists this ribosomal RNA (446 nucleotides) under uncultured bacterium. RNAcentral's name for it is "bacterial SSU rRNA". It matches the Rfam family "Bacterial small subunit ribosomal RNA", at positions 355 to 825 of the family's 1533-position model. The record is from RNAcentral.
UGGGGAAUAUUGGACAAUGGGCGCAAGCCUGAUCCAGCCAUGCCGCGUGAGUGACGAAGGCCUUAGGGUUGUAAAGCUCUUUUGGCGGGGAAGAUAAUGACGGUACCCGCAGAAUAAGCUCCGGCUAACUUCGUGCCAGCAGCCGCGGUAAUACGAAGGGAGCUAGCGUUGUUCGGAAUCACUGGGCGUAAAGCGCACGUAGGCGGAUGUGUCAGUCAGGGGUGAAAUCCCGGAGCUCAACCUCGGAACUGCCCUUGAUACAGCACGUCUUGAGUCCGAUAGAGGUGGGUGGAAUUCCUAGUGUAGAGGUGAAAUUCGUAGAUAUUAGGAAGAACACCGGUGGCGAAGGCGACUUGCUGGACUUGUGGUGACGCUGAGACGCGAAAGCGUGGGGAGCAAACAGGAUUAGAUACCCAGGUAUCCCUGAGCGGGCUGGCAAGGCGCAU